Molecule: ribosomal RNA, 870 nt
Filed under: Chlamydomonas incerta
Lineage: Eukaryota; Viridiplantae; Chlorophyta; Chlorophyceae; Chlamydomonadales; Chlamydomonadaceae
Description: eukaryotic LSU rRNA
Rfam family: Eukaryotic large subunit ribosomal RNA
Source: RNAcentral
CAACGUAGCUACGGCGAGCGACCGGGAUAGCCCAACUUGAAAAUCUCCCUUUGGAGAAUUGUAGUCUAGAGAAGCGCUUUCUAGGGCUGGCGGAGCUCAAGUCGGAUCGAAUGCCGCGUCAGAGAGGGUGAUAACCCCGUCGGUUCCUGCCUAGUCCUUCCACGAAGUGCUUUCCACGAGUCGGGUUGUUUGGGAAUGCAGCCCUAAUUUGGAGGUAAAUCCCUUCUAAGGCUAAAUACUGCCGAGAGACCGAUAGCGAACAAGUACCGUGAGGGAAAGAUGAAAAGAACUUUGAAAAGAGAGUUAAAAGUGCUUGAAAUUGUUGAGAGGGAAGCGAUUGGCGCUCGUAGGUGCGCCCAGGCUUAAGCGGUCCUAACGGCCCGUUGAAUGUGCUGGGUGCUGGUCAGAAUGGGUUAAGUUGGCGGGAUAAAAGCAGGGUCCACCCAGGUAACCCUGCCGAUGCCGCCGACUUGACCAAGGCGUAAAGAGUACUUUGUCCCUCGGGAUCUGUGCUCUAAAGAUUCUGGCAGAAGAGCGUCAAUCGACCCGUCUUGAAACACGGACCAAGGAGUCUAACAUGUAUGCGAGUUGGCGGGUGGAAAACCCGUAAGCGCAAGUAACCUGACUGGUGGGAUGGGGUAAAACCCUGCACCAUCGACCGACCAUGUUGUUUCUACGAAAGGUUUGAGUGCGAGCAUACCUGUUGGGACCCGAAAGAUGGUGAACUAUGCCUGAGCAGGGUGAAGCCAGAGGAAACUCUGGUGGAGGCUCGUAGAUGUGCUGACGUGCAAAUCGCUUUUCAGACUUGGGUAUAGGGGCGAAAGAUAACACCCCUCUUUUAAAAGAAAAAAAAAAUUUUAUUUAGGUGGU